RNAcentral lists this non-coding RNA (719 nucleotides) under Pongo abelii (Sumatran orangutan). The record is from RNAcentral. Lineage: Eukaryota; Metazoa; Chordata; Mammalia; Primates; Hominidae.
UUUGGAAAAGCAUAAACUUAAGGCAUCACCUUUACAGAAAAUAUCUUCCAUGGAAACAUCUAAAGGCCACAGAUCAGCCCUGGGGUUCAGAGGGAUCCUGACGGCUACUCCUCAAGAUCCUCUCUGUUGUGAUUCAUCCCCCCCAGGCCCUACAGUUUCUCCUUCCUGACUCUUACAUUUCUUUGGAUGGCAUCACUAUUUACCUGUCUCCUCCCAUAGUUAGUUGCCAAGCACUGUGGAUUCUACCCCUCAGGGUCCAGACACCCAUUUUCCUUCCCACUGUUCCCUCCCCAUGGAGAAGCCUGUGGCUGACUGACAGCUCAACUUGGAGAAGGUGUUACCUGGGCCAGGUGGGGAAGGUAGGGUUGUUUGCAGAGCAAAGAAGUGAAGGAAGUAUUAACCCUUUGCAUGGCCUCCUGAGAAUCUGACAAGACGUAAAUAGCCAAGAAUAUCUGUGGAACUUAAUCAGUGAGUUACAAUAUUUAUCACUGCAAGUGUGUUGUUCAUUGACACUAUAAAGCCAUAUGGAAUUAAGCAGCCUUGAAACACAAAAUGGAGAAAGGCUAAGAGCUGAGAAUUGUUGCCUUCAGGGAAAUAUAAUCAAUGUCAAGCAAACAACCACCCCAAAAUGGUUAGCUUUAUCAGCAUUCAGGCCUACAGUGAAAGCAAAUGUUCCAGAUCUGAGUUUCAAUUUUUAAAGAAUAAACAUAUGCAAAUGA